RNAcentral lists this ribosomal RNA (835 nucleotides) under Streptococcus sp. HGH0349. RNAcentral describes it as "bacterial SSU rRNA". It matches the Rfam family "Bacterial small subunit ribosomal RNA", at positions 60 to 869 of the family's 1533-position model. The record is from RNAcentral. Lineage: Bacteria; Bacillati; Bacillota; Bacilli; Lactobacillales; Streptococcaceae.
AGUAGGACGCACAGUUUAUACCGUAGCUUGCUACACCAUAGACUGUGAGUUGCGAACGGGUGAGUAACGCGUAGGUAACCUGCCUAUUAGAGGGGGAUAACUAUUGGAAACGAUAGCUAAUACCGCAUAACAGUAUGUAACACAUGUUAGAUGCUUGAAAGAUGCAAUUGCAUCGCUAGUAGAUGGACCUGCGUUGUAUUAGCUAGUAGGUAGGGUAAUGGCCUACCUAGGCGACGAUACAUAGCCGACCUGAGAGGGUGAUCGGCCACACUGGGACUGAGACACGGCCCAGACUCCUACGGGAGGCAGCAGUAGGGAAUCUUCGGCAAUGGGGGGAACCCUGACCGAGCAACGCCGCGUGAGUGAAGAAGGUUUUCGGAUCGUAAAGCUCUGUUGUUAAGGAAGAACGAGUGUGAGAAUGGAAAGUUCAUACUGUGACGGUACUUAACCAGAAAGGGACGGCUAACUACGUGCCAGCAGCCGCGGUAAUACGUAGGUCCCGAGCGUUGUCCGGAUUUAUUGGGCGUAAAGCGAGCGCAGGCGGUUAGAAAAGUCUGAAGUGAAAGGCAGUGGCUCAACCAUUGUAGGCUUUGGAAACUGUUUAACUUGAGUGCAGAAGGGGAGAGUGGAAUUCCAUGUGUAGCGGUGAAAUGCGUAGAUAUAUGGAGGAACACCGGUGGCGAAAGCGGCUCUCUGGUCUGUAACUGACGCUGAGGCUCGAAAGCGUGGGGAGCGAACAGGAUUAGAUACCCUGGUAGUCCACGCCGUAAACGAUGAGUGCUAGGUGUUGGGUCCUUUUCGGGACUCAGUGCCGCAGCUAACGCAUUAAGCACUC